This 2161-nucleotide long non-coding RNA is filed under the name Homo sapiens (human). Its description in RNAcentral is "HSALNT0356230". The record is from RNAcentral. Lineage: Eukaryota; Metazoa; Chordata; Mammalia; Primates; Hominidae.
AGUACAUGAGCGCAGGCCCAAGAUCCGAAAGGGAAAGUCCUGAACGCCCCCUUCCCCCUGUCUUUUCGGCGGGGCUUUGGGAGUUUGCAGGGUGUUCUGAGUGUUUGGGCCUCAGGGAUUCUCACCUCCGGGAGAUUCCAGGAGCUGUAGGGGGUGGAAUGCGAGUAGGAGGAGAGAUGGAUAUCGUGGCCUGCUGAUGGUUUUGGAGCCCAGGUCCAGACAUUUCUUGAUUGAAGUAGACAUUCAAGAAGUGUGAAAUGCACAGUCAGAAAAUCUGGGACUUCUCUUUUUCCUUGUCAGAAUCAGGAUUGAAAAAUGAUUCAGCGGGGAAUAGCUUCUUUACAGUGAGAGCCCGUGUUAUUGAUUUUUGUGUCUGUAUACAACCUAAAAGAAUGGAGGCGUGUGUCCCUCUCUUUCGGAAAUAAUGAUAUCAUCCAUGUGUAAUUAAUUAUGUGGGGCCCAUGUUGGAAGACUGUGUAGCCAGCUCUUGGCUGUCGAAGCACUGACUACAUGGAUUUAACCUGCCAUUGACAGUGGCGCCAUUUUUCUGGUCCUCCAGAGGAACAUAAACCUGUCCAUUUUACUCAUCUUGAAGGAGUUUUGGCAAAACAUGUAUUAGGGCAGAAAAUGAAACCUCACUAGAGCUCCCUUUGCACUGGAAGGCUGGAGGAAUUUCGUGGACUUGGAGGCUCUGCCCUGUGCUCCACGGCCACAAGCCCUUAAGUGUUGUCUCCACAGCAUUUGCAUUUGCUGUCCUCAAAGCCCCGCUCCUCCCUCUCCCGUCGCUGUCCUCAAAGCCCCGCUCCUCCCUCUCCCGUCGCUGUCCUCAAAGACCCACUCCUCCCUCUCCCAUACACGAUUUUGAGCUAUAUCCUUAAUAUCCAGGUUCCUUUGUGUUUCCUGGUAAUGGGUAGAAGUGCAAGGGGAUUUCAGCUCCCAAGAGACAGGGUUUCCCCGUGCCUAAGACCCCAGGGUUGAUGCUACUCUGUCAUCAAGUGGUGACUGUGACUCUUCCCCCCGCAACCUCAGGAGGUUUUUUUGGACUUCAUCCCAGAUCCUGAGCUGGAGCUGGUCCUGGGAUGCAGAGCGUGCCUGUCCUAGUGAACUGAAGUGUCUCCAAAAGGGUUCCUGAAAACAGAACAAAGUUGCCCAGCCAGGCACGCAGGCCAGGGCAGGAAACUGGCCUUGGGGCCACCUCCGCUCAGGAUGGGGUGGAGGCAAACAGACUUGUGCGUCAUCCUUCACAAAGAAGGUUCUCUCAGAUAUUUGGAUUUCCUUGAGGAGCCCUCAAAGCAAUAAAAUAAUAUGUCCUUCAGACUGAGAACACUGACCGUGUCUGCAAGGCAGAGUGGGGCGCCGCAUGAGGUCUGCAUCUCAGAGGCUCCAGGCAGGAGUCUGGCUCUACUUGUUUUUCAGAGUAUUCUCUGGGAGGCACACACCUUUCCCAUUUUCUGGUGUGCCCAGCAAUAGGACGUCGUGUUAUCUUUCCUGAGGGUCGGACAGACGUUCGCUUGUGAGGGUAGGAUCCUGCUCCCUUCAUAGUAAGCAGAAAAUCCAGUCAUAUUGCACUAUGGGGGCCCAAUCUUUUUCUACUUUGGUGAAAUGUCCUGAAUCUCACCUCUGAGAAUACCUUUCUUGCUGUGUCCUGGCAUAGCUUCCUGAAACUGUCGGAAGAGGUCUUUUAUUCCUUAUUGAUAAUCUGGAAAUAGGGCUCUUUUGAAAACCUUUUUUUGUUUUUCCAAAGGAAAAAAAAAACCCAAAGAAGAUAAAACACUGAAUUAAAAAGAAAUAGACUCUUUGUGGCCGUCUAUAUUUUCCAAGGUUUCAUGUUUUUAACAAUGAAUAUGUAUUAUUUUGCAAUCGGAUACAAGCUGGGCUUUGUUUGUAAUUGACAACAGAGGGCUAUCAGCCCAGCUACCACUGGAAGCAGAGUGGUAUUUCAGAGUUUGUUCUCUCUCCCCACCACCUUUGGGGCGUCUGCUUCAUGUAAUUCCCACCCAGAAGCUCCCCUAAUGAGGGGUGCUCAUUCAAGGUCUCCCACAAGGAACAAAGCAUUUUCACAUUUUCCAAAGUCCGUUUCAUUGUUGAAAUAUUGUAAUAGAAAGCAGGAUAUAUUUGCACUGUAAUUUUAGAGCAAUUUUGGAAGUAGAAACAUUUUGUG